RNAcentral lists this ribosomal RNA (460 nucleotides) under uncultured bacterium. Its description in RNAcentral is "partial 16S ribosomal RNA". It matches the Rfam family "Bacterial small subunit ribosomal RNA", at positions 338 to 795 of the family's 1533-position model. The record is from RNAcentral.
CCUACGGGAGGCAGCAGUGAGGAAUAUUGGUCAAUGGUCGUAAGCCUGAACCAGCCAAGUAGCGUGCAGGAUGAAGGCCCUACGGGUCGUAAACCGCUUUUACACGGGGAUAAAACGCUCCACGUGUGGGGUUUUGCAUGUACCGUACGAAUAAGGACCGGCUAAUUCCGUGCCAGCAGCCGCGGUAAUACGGAAGGCCCGAGCGUUAUCCGGACUUAAUGGGGUUAAAGGGAGCGUAGGUGGGGUGUCAAGUCAGGUGUGAAAGUCCGCGGCUCAACCGUGCAACGGCAGUUGAAACUGGCAGUCUUGAGUGCACGAGAGGUAGGCGGAAUUCGUGGUGUAGCGGUGAAAUGCAUAGAUAUCACGAGGAACCCCGAUGGCGAAGGCAGCCUGCGGGGGUGCGACUGACGCUGAGGCUCGAAGGUGUGGGUAUCAAACAGGAUUAGAUACCCUGGUAGUC